Non-coding RNA from Leptotrichia hofstadii F0254, 265 nucleotides. It matches the Rfam family "Bacterial large signal recognition particle RNA". Rfam says of the family: The signal recognition particle (SRP) is a universally conserved ribonucleoprotein involved in the co-translational targeting of proteins to membranes. Archaeal SRP consists of a 7S RNA and homologues of the eukaryotic SRP19 and SRP54 proteins. The record is from Rfam. NCBI's taxonomy places the organism in Bacteria, Fusobacteriati, Fusobacteriota, Fusobacteriia, Fusobacteriales, Leptotrichiaceae.
UCAUACUAGCCGGGGAGUUAGCGGUGCCCUGUAUCUACAACCCGCUUUAGUAGAGGUGAUGUCAAAUUUAAGGGAAGUUCUAGUAUCAACGUCUUAUUUCAAAAGUGUUGAGAAAAUAGUCCUGUAUUGUAGAGAGUUAGCGAAAUGUGUCAGGUCGGGAACGAAGCAGCACUAAGUUAGUUUCUCUAGGUUUACAGGGUAGCUGUUUUUGAGCUUUUGGAUUAAGAAACGGAUGGUAGAAUGUUUUCGAGAAUUUGAUGUAUGA